RNAcentral lists this ribosomal RNA (468 nucleotides) under uncultured bacterium. RNAcentral describes it as "partial 16S ribosomal RNA". It matches the Rfam family "Bacterial small subunit ribosomal RNA", at positions 28 to 507 of the family's 1533-position model. The record is from RNAcentral.
GACGAACGCUGGCGGCGUGCUUAACACAUGCAAGUCGAACGGAAAGGCCCUGCUUUUGUGGGGUGCUCGAGUGGCGAACGGGUGAGUAACACGUGAGUAACCUGCCCUUGACUUUGGGAUAACUUCAGGAAACUGGGGCUAAUACCGGAUAGGAGCUCCUGCUGCAUGGUGGGGGUUGGAAAGUUUCGGCGGUUGGGGAUGGACUCGCGGCUUAUCAGCUUGUUGGUGGGGUAGUGGCUUACCAAGGCUUUGACGGGUAGCCGGCCUGAGAGGGUGACCGGCCACAUGGGGACUGAGAUACGGACCAGACUCCUACGGGAGGCAGCAGUGGGGAAUAUUGCACAAUGGGCGGAAGCCUGAUGCAGCAACGUCGCGUGCGGGAUGACGGCCUUCGGGUUGUAAACCGCUUUCGCCUGUGACGAAGCGUGAGUGACGGUAAUGGGUAAAGAAGCACCGGCUAACUACGUG